This 135-nucleotide ribosomal RNA is filed under the name Microcebus murinus (gray mouse lemur). The record is from RNAcentral. Lineage: Eukaryota; Metazoa; Chordata; Mammalia; Primates; Cheirogaleidae.
GCCUAUGGCCAUACCACCCUGAACAGGCCCGAUCUUGUCUGAUCUCGGAAGCUAAGCAGGGUUGGGCAUGGUUAGUACUUGGAUGAAAGAAAAUUAAGACUGAACUUCAGAUUUGGUAUUCAAAAACCUUAUGUU